AACGAACGCUGGCGGCAUGCCUAACACAUGCAAGUCGAACGAGACCUUCGGGUCUAGUGGCGCACGGGUGCGUAACACGUGGGAAUUUGCCUCGGGGUAUGGAAUAACUCAGGGAAACUUGAGCUAAUACCAUAUAAUGUCUUCGGACCAAAGAUUUAUCGCCCUGAGAUAAGCCCGCGUAGGAUUAGCUAGUUGGUGGGGUAAAGGCUCACCAAGGCGACGAUCCUUAGCUGGUCUGAGAGGAUGAUCAGCCACACUGGGACUGAGACACGGCCCAGACUCCUACGGGAGGCAGCAGCGGGGAAUAUUGGACAAUGGGCGAAAGCCUGAUCCAGCAAUGCCGCGUGAGUGAUGAAGGCUC
Molecule: ribosomal RNA, 361 nt
Filed under: uncultured bacterium
Lineage: Bacteria
Description: bacterial SSU rRNA
Rfam family: Bacterial small subunit ribosomal RNA
Source: RNAcentral